This 513-nucleotide ribosomal RNA is filed under the name uncultured bacterium. RNAcentral describes it as "partial 16S ribosomal RNA". It matches the Rfam family "Bacterial small subunit ribosomal RNA", at positions 28 to 523 of the family's 1533-position model. The record is from RNAcentral.
GACGAACGCUGGCGGCAUGCCUAAUACAUGCAAGUCGAGCGAACAGAUGAAGUGCUUGCACUUCUGACGUUAGCGGCGAACGGGUGAGUAACACGUAAGGAAUCUACCUAUAAGCGGGGGAUAACAUUCGGAAACGGAUGCUAAUACCGCAUAAUAUCUUCUUCCGCAUGGAAGAAGAUUGAAAGACGGCUCUGCUGUCACUUAUAGAUGACCUUGCGGUGCAUUAGUUAGUUGGUGGGGUAACGGCCUACCAAGACGAUGAUGCAUAGCCGACCUGCGAGGGUGAUCGGCCACAUUGGGACUGAGACACGGCCCAAACGCCUACGGGAGGCAGCAGUAGGGAAUCUUCCGCAAUGGGCGAAAGCCUGACGGAGCAAUGCCGCGUGAGUGAAGAAGGCCUUCGGGUCGUAAAACUCUGUUAUAAGAGAAGAACAAAUUGUAGAGUAGCUGCUACAGUCUUGACGGUAUCUUAUCAGAAAGCCACGGCUAACUACGUGCCAGCCGCCGCAGUAA